Small nuclear RNA from Kogia breviceps (pygmy sperm whale), 104 nucleotides. The record is from RefSeq and is a predicted model, not a curated record. NCBI's taxonomy places the organism in Eukaryota, Metazoa, Chordata, Mammalia, Artiodactyla, Physeteridae.
GCGCUUGCUUCAGCAGCACACAUACUAAAAUUGGAACACAGAGUACAGUAACACAGCCCCUGAACAAGGAUGACAUUCAAAUUCGUGAAGCGCUCCAUGUUUUU